This 253-nucleotide ribosomal RNA is filed under the name uncultured bacterium. RNAcentral describes it as "partial 16S ribosomal RNA". It matches the Rfam family "Bacterial small subunit ribosomal RNA", at positions 524 to 776 of the family's 1533-position model. The record is from RNAcentral.
UACGAAGGGGGCUAGCGUUGCUCGGAAUUACUGGGCGUAAAGCGCGUGUAGGUGGCCAUGUAGGUCCGCUGUGAAAACUUGAGGCUCAACCUCAAGCUGUCGGUGGAAACCACAUGGCUAGAGUCCGGAAGAGGAGAGUGGAAUUCCUGGUGUAGCGGUGAAAUGCGCAGAUAUCAGGAAGAACACCAAUGGCGAAGGCAGCUCUCUGGGACGGUACUGACACUGAGACGCGAAAGCGUGGGGAGCGAACAGG